AGUAACGCGUGAGAAUCUGCCCAUUUGUGGGGGAUAACCCGGGGAAACUCGGGCUAAUACCGCAUACGCCCUACGGGGUAAAGCAGGGGACCUUCGGGCCUUGCGCUGAUGGAUGAGCUCGCGUCGGAUUAGCUUGUUGGUGAGGUAAAGGCUCACCAAGGCGACGAUCCGUAGCUGGUCUGAGAGGAUGAUCAGCCACACCGGGACUGAGACACGGCCCGGACUCCUACGGGAGGCAGCAGUGGGGAAUCUUGGACAAUGGGGGCAACCCUGAUCCAGCCAUGCCGCGUGUGUGAAGAAGGCCUUCGGGUUGUAAAGCACUUUCAGCAGGGAGGAAGGCUUACCCCUAAUACGGGUGAGUACUUGACGUUACCUGCAGAAGAAGCACCGGCUAAUUUCGUGCCAGCAGCCGCGGUAAUACGAAAGGUGCAAGCGUUAAUCGGAAUUACUGGGCGUAAAGCGCGCGUAGGCGGUGUGUUAAGUCAGAUGUGAAAGCCCCGGGCUCAACCUUGGAAUUGCAUCCGAUACUGGCACGCUAGAGUGCAGUAGAGGGAGGUGGAAUUUCCGGUGUAGCGGUGAAAUGCGUAGAGAUCGGAAGGAACACCAGUGGCGAAGGCGGCCUCCUGGACUGACACUGACGCUGAGGUGCGAAAGCGUGGGGAGCAAACAGGAUUAGAUAC
Molecule: ribosomal RNA, 680 nt
Filed under: Alloalcanivorax venustensis
Lineage: Bacteria; Pseudomonadati; Pseudomonadota; Gammaproteobacteria; Oceanospirillales; Alcanivoracaceae
Description: bacterial SSU rRNA
Rfam family: Bacterial small subunit ribosomal RNA
Source: RNAcentral